This 301-nucleotide ribosomal RNA is filed under the name uncultured bacterium. RNAcentral's name for it is "partial 16S ribosomal RNA". It matches the Rfam family "Bacterial small subunit ribosomal RNA", at positions 509 to 807 of the family's 1533-position model. The record is from RNAcentral.
CAGUCGCCGCGGGAAUACAGAGGGUGCGAGCGUUAAUCGGAUUUACUGGGCGUAAAGCGUGCGUAGGCGGCUAAUUGAGUCGGAUGUGAAAUCCCUGAGCUUAACUUAGGAAUUGCAUUCGAUACUGGGAAGCUAGAGUAUGGGAGAGGAUGGUAGAAUUCCAGGUGUAGCGGUGAAAUGCGUAGAGAUCUGGAGGAAUACCGAUGGCGAAGGCAGCCAUCUGGCCUAAUACUGACGCUGAGGUACGAAAGCAUGGGGAGCAAACAGGAUUAGAGACCCCGGUAGUCCCUGUCUCUUAUAC